Molecule: ribosomal RNA, 253 nt
Filed under: uncultured bacterium
Lineage: Bacteria
Description: partial 16S ribosomal RNA
Rfam family: Bacterial small subunit ribosomal RNA
Source: RNAcentral
GACAGAGGUUGCGAGCGGUAAUCGGAAUUACUGGGCGUAAAGCGCACGUAGGUGGCGACGUAAGUCGGGUGUGAAAGCCCCGGGCUCAACCUGGGAAUUGCAUUCGAGACUGCAUUGCUGGAGUACGGAAGAGGAGGGCGGAAUUCCCGGUGUAGCGGUGAAAUGCGUAGAUAUCGGGAGGAACAUCAGUGGCGCAGGCGGCCCUCUGGUCCAGUACUGACACUCAAGUGCGAAAGCGUGGGGAGCAAACAGG